Molecule: ribosomal RNA, 429 nt
Filed under: Bacillota bacterium
Lineage: Bacteria; Bacillati; Bacillota
Description: Firmicutes bacterium partial 16S ribosomal RNA
Rfam family: Bacterial small subunit ribosomal RNA
Source: RNAcentral
UAGGGAAUCUUCGGCAAUGGACGGAAGUCUGACCGAGCAACGCCGCGUGAGUGAAGAAGGUUUUCGGAUCGUAAAGCUCUGUUGUUAGAGAAGAACGUUGGUAGGAGUGGAAAAUCUACCAAGUGACGGUAACUAACCAGAAAGGGACGGCUAACUACGUGCCAGCAGCCGCGGUAAUACGUAGGUCCCGAGCGUUGUCCGGAUUUAUUGGGCGUAAAGCGAGCGCAGGCGGUUCUUUAAGUCUGAAGUUAAAGGCAGUGGCUUAACCAUUGUACGCUUUGGAAACAGGAGGACUUGAGUGCAGAAGGGGAGAGUGGAAUUCCAUGUGUAGCGGUGAAAUGCGUAGAUAUAUGGAGGAACACCGGUGGCGAAAGCGGCUCUCUGGGCUGUAACUGACGCUGAGGCUCGAAAGCGUGGGGAGCAAACAGG